This 253-nucleotide ribosomal RNA is filed under the name uncultured bacterium. RNAcentral's name for it is "partial 16S ribosomal RNA". It matches the Rfam family "Bacterial small subunit ribosomal RNA", at positions 524 to 776 of the family's 1533-position model. The record is from RNAcentral.
UACGGGGGGUGCGAGCGUUGUCCGGAAUCACUGGGCGUAAGGGGCGCGUAGGUGGCGUCGUAAGUCUGUGGUGAAAGCCCCGGGCUCAACCUGGGAAUUGCAUUUGAGACUGCUCUGCUCGGGUGCGGAAGAGGGAAGCGGAAUUUCCGGUGUAGCGGUGAAAUGCGUAGAUAUCGGAAGGAACACCAGUGGCGAAGGCGGCUAUCUGGACGGUUUCUGACACUAAGACUCGAAAGCGUGGGGAGCAAACAGG